AAGGUUGUAUGGCACAGUGGCCGUGAUGUCAUCAGUGACAUCACACUCAGGACCUUCAGUGAGUGAGCACCAGCUGCUGGGGAUCCAGAUGUGGCUCGUGUACAGGCUCUCGUACUCCCUGUCAAAGAGAGGAGGGCACAGAGUUACACCAGCCCCUCUGACACAGGCUCUGUUAUGGUUGCAAGUGACUGCCUUCAUUCUCCUACUUUGUACAGGUUAAUUUCUGGUGCCUUCCAUGGAGGAUCAUCCACGUCAGAAGAUAAACUGCUGGAAGAAUAGACCUAUUUCCUCACUGUGUGGGUUGAACAACAUUUCUGUAUAAGGCCACUGCGUUCAGAUGUACCCUGAGGAAGGUACCCCAGCAACAAGGUGGGAGUGAAAUUCAAACUUCUAGAGAAGGGCUGGGCCUGCCUAGAGAAAAAGAUGCCUUUUCCUAAUUCUCACAAAGGUACUACAUAGACUGUGACAACCCUGCUUCUAUGCAACCUCUGGAUUAUAAGAGCUCUAUUUGUAUUUACAUCUGAAAAUCAACUUACCGAAGAUUCACUAUCUCGAAUGAGGAAAUCCCCUUCGUGUCCUCUUUCGUUUAAUGCCAUUUCUGCUUGAUGCCUGGUGACUUUGCCAUAAUACCAAGGAUUGCCAGCAAACUUUCCCGUGAGUGAAGGCCUAAUGUAAUCACACUGUGGAGGUGAUGGCUCCAAACCUGAGGUUAAUGGAUUAUUCUGCAUAACGGUAACAUAGUUUUUUGGUACUAGACCAACCAUACCAUUGAUCUUCCUGCAUUUCCACCAUUCUGGGUCAUUUUCAGGUUUUUCAAUAACAUCCAUUACAUCUCCUUUCUCGAAA
Non-coding RNA from Macaca mulatta (Rhesus monkey), 846 nucleotides. Lineage: Eukaryota; Metazoa; Chordata; Mammalia; Primates; Cercopithecidae. The record is from RefSeq and is a predicted model, not a curated record.